This 220-nucleotide ribosomal RNA is filed under the name Agrocybe pediades. RNAcentral describes it as "5.8S ribosomal RNA". The stretch from base 1 to 135 matches the Rfam family "5.8S ribosomal RNA", at positions 21 to 154 of the family's 154-position model. From Rfam's summary of the family: 5.8S ribosomal RNA (5.8S rRNA) is a component of the large subunit of the eukaryotic ribosome. It is transcribed by RNA polymerase I as part of the 45S precursor that also contains 18S and 28S rRNA. Functionally, it is thought that 5.8S rRNA may be involved in ribosome translocation. Lineage: Eukaryota; Fungi; Basidiomycota; Agaricomycetes; Agaricales; Agrocybaceae. The record is from RNAcentral.
UUGGCUCUCGCAUCGAUGAAGAACGCAGCGAAAUGCGAUAAGUAAUGUGAAUUGCAGAAUUCAAGUGAAUCAUCGAAUCUUUGAACGCACCUUGCGCUCCUUGGUAUUCCGAGGAGCAUGCCUGUUUGAGUGUCAUUAAAUUCUCAACCUUAUUAGCUUUUGCUGAUAGUGGCUUGGACUUGGGGGUCUUUUUGCUGGCUUUCAUUAGUCUGCUCCCCUU